Molecule: long non-coding RNA, 327 nt
Organism: Strongylocentrotus purpuratus (purple sea urchin)
Lineage: Eukaryota; Metazoa; Echinodermata; Echinoidea; Camarodonta; Strongylocentrotidae
Exons: 2
Source: RefSeq, a predicted model, not a curated record
CUCUCGUUAGCACUUUUUUUGCUCUCCUUGAAAAUUAUACUAUUAAGUAUAUGUUUUUUUAAUCAACACUUUCCAUUCCAUGUUUUAAAGGUCGUAUACCGUUCUCUUGACGUGCAGAAGGACGACGGAAGUUAGAGGAUUGCACGAAAUCCCCAAUUUUUAUUCUUGCCUUUUAUAUAGGCCGGUAUAACUUAUCAAUGAAUAUGAAUGGAACAUAAUAUUAUGCAAAAUAUAUUACACUUUCUUUCCAACAUGUUAGUUUGAUAUUCUACAUCCUGUCUACAGAACACUCUCAUUGGCAUGAUCGGGGGAACUGUCAAUAUCAUU